RNAcentral lists this long non-coding RNA (1232 nucleotides) under Marmota monax (woodchuck). The record is from RNAcentral. Lineage: Eukaryota; Metazoa; Chordata; Mammalia; Rodentia; Sciuridae.
UCACAAUACUCUUCAUUGAGAGAAAUUUUAAAGGUAGAGACAAAAAUGAAAACUUGGGUAUUUAUUUUACACAUUACAGUCUAUAAGAUAUUAUGAAAUAAUAGUAUUCUUAUGAGAGACUUGACUAUUAACAAGAGUGUUUUGCAAUUAAAAAGGGAUUCAAUUAAACAGAAGAAAAAUAACAAUCAAAUUUGUGUAUGGUAGAACAAUGAGAUAAUCUAUGUACAAUGUAUUAUAUUACAUCUCUGAGCACCUAUAGUUUUCACUGAGCAUAUUUAUACUCUUUGUUAAGCCUACAUGGAAAUCCAUACUAAAUUAAGUUUAUAAUAGAAUUAAAAAUUGCAACAGAAUGAAUUAAACUGGGAACAACAAUUAAAUGGCAUUACUGAAAUUGUCCCUUGAUUUCUUAUUGAAUAAUAGUUUAUUCACAUAUUUAUUAUGAGCAAAAAGUCUUUUCAGUGUUGAGAAAACUGAUUUCAGUAAUGCCUUUGGUCAGCAUUCUAUAACCUCCUUUAGAAAAGAUGAAGAAAGGUAAUCUAAAUGAUUUUACUGGAAAUUGAGCUGGAAUUGGUAAAAACAUUUUAUCUAUUUAUGUGUUGGAGAUAUGAUGUUUAGAGAAAUGUGGGAAGCCGCUUGCACGUGACUGUGACUGAGAUACCUCCCUGACUGGGUAUGAGGUACUCAGACCAGCUGAGUCAGAGCUUUCCCCACCCUUUCCAGGUGCGAGGGCUUGUCCGUGUGGGGGUGUGGCUGACCAUUGACCUGGAAACCAAUCACUGACCCUGACUUUGGAAUACUGUCUCCCUCUACCUUCAUUGGAUGGAAUUUUCCCCUGAUUUUUUUAUUUCCCAAUAAAAGCCCACUCUCUGGUAUGUUCCUCCCUCUUUCCUGCUGGUCUCUUGUGUAAACCUCGCUACCCACAAGGUGGCUCAAGGCAGGAGCCAGGAAGGGCUGUCUCUGAGCUGGGCAAGAAAAAGGUAAAUUGAGUUUAUGUGUCUUUAUUUUCAUCCCACUAGUUAACUUCUAUGUUUUGAACCUCUAGUAUGAAGCUGCAACAAAGAGAAACACUAUCUUUACCUGAUAAUUCAAAGGCUCUUCCCAACAUGUAUUUGGGUAAAACCAGAAAACGCGUGAAGAAGUUGAAUUUCUUAGUAACAGCAAUCAUUUAGGUUAUGCCCAAAUUUGCCUUCCUGUCUUCAAAGAAUCUCCUUCCUCUGGGACAGAUUCUUCAC